This is a non-coding RNA of Mycena latifolia, 91 nucleotides long. The record is from the annotation of a GenBank genome assembly. Lineage: Eukaryota; Fungi; Basidiomycota; Agaricomycetes; Agaricales; Mycenaceae.
AGCAGUGUGGUGUAUCGUGCACACGGGGUCCAGAUACAUCGUCGGUAUACAUUCUUACCCCGAGGUCCUUGUUCGACUCAAGGUGCUGCUC